AUUGAACGCUGGCGGCAUGCCUUACACAUGCAAGUCGAACGGCAGCGGGCCCUUCGGGGUGCCGGCGAGUGGCGAACGGGUGAGUAAUGCAUCGGAACGUACCCGGGAGAGGGGGAUAACCGGCCGAAAGGCGGGCUAAUACCGCAUGAACUCGGAAGAGCACAGCGGGGGACCUUCGGGCCCCGGGCCUCGGGGCGGCCGGAGGUCCGAUAAGGCUGGUUGUUGGGGUAAAGGCCCACCAAGGCGACGAUCGGUAGCGGGUCUGAGAGGACGAUCCGCCACACUGGGACUGAGACACGGCCCAGACUCCUACGGGAGGCAGCAGUGGGGAAUCUUGGACAAUGGGCGCAAGCCUGAUCCAGCAAUGCCGCGUGGGUGAAGAAGGCCUUCGGGUUGUAAAGCCCUUUCGGCGGGGAAGAAAUCGGUCAGGCGAAUAGUCUGGCCGGAUGACGGUACCCGCAGAAGAAGCACCGGCUAACUACGUG
Molecule: ribosomal RNA, 485 nt
Filed under: uncultured bacterium
Lineage: Bacteria
Description: partial 16S ribosomal RNA
Rfam family: Bacterial small subunit ribosomal RNA
Source: RNAcentral